This 496-nucleotide ribosomal RNA is filed under the name uncultured bacterium. RNAcentral describes it as "partial 16S ribosomal RNA". It matches the Rfam family "Bacterial small subunit ribosomal RNA", at positions 29 to 507 of the family's 1533-position model. The record is from RNAcentral.
AUGCACGCUGGCGGCGUGCCUAAUACAUGCAAGUCGAGCGAACGGACGAGAAGCUUGCUUCUCUGAUGUUAGCGGCGGACGGGUGAGUAACACGUGGAUAACCUACCUAUAAGACUGGGAUAACUUCGGGAAACCGGAGCUAAUACCGGAUAAUAUUUUGAACCGCAUGGUUCAAAAGUGAAAGACGGUCUUGCUGUCACUUAUAGAUGGAUCCGCGCUGCAUUAGCUAGUUGGUAAGGUAACGGCUUACCAGGGCAACGAUGCAUAGCCGACCUGAGAGGGUGAUCGGCCACACUGGAACUGAGACACGGUCCAGACUCCUACGGGAGGCAGCAGUAGGGAAUCUUCCGCAAUGGGCGAAAGCCUGACGGAGCAACGCCGCGUGAGUGAUGAAGGUCUUCGGAUCGUAAAACUCUGUUAUUAGGGAAGAACAUAUGUGUAAGUAACUGUGCACAUCUUGACGGUACCUAAUCAGAAAGCCACGGCUAACUACGUG